CAGAGUGUAGCUAAAUAGUUAAGCCUCUCAUUUACACUGUGAAAAAGUCCGUGCAAAUCGAACCACUCUGA
RNAcentral lists this transfer RNA (71 nucleotides) under Rasboroides vaterifloris (pearly rasbora). Its description in RNAcentral is "tRNA-Val". It matches the Rfam family "tRNA". Rfam says of the family: Transfer RNA (tRNA) molecules are approximately 80 nucleotides in length. Their secondary structure includes four short double-helical elements and three loops (D, anti-codon, and T loops). Further hydrogen bonds mediate the characteristic L-shaped molecular structure. tRNAs have two regions of fundamental functional importance: the anti-codon, which is responsible for specific mRNA codon recognition, and the 3' end, to which the tRNAs corresponding amino acid is attached (by aminoacyl-tRNA synthetases). tRNAs cope with the degeneracy of the genetic code in two manners: having more than one tRNA (with a specific anti-codon) for a particular amino acid; and 'wobble' base-pairing, i.e. permitting non-standard base-pairing at the 3rd anti-codon position. Lineage: Eukaryota; Metazoa; Chordata; Actinopteri; Cypriniformes; Danionidae. The record is from RNAcentral.